AUUGAACGCUAGCGGGAUGCUUUACACAUGCGAGUCGAACGGCAGCGCGGACUUCGGUCUGGCGGCGAGUGGCGAACGGGUGAGUAAUGUAUCGGAACGUGCCCAGUAGCGGGGGAUAACUACGCGAAAGCGUAGCUAAUACCGCAUACGCCCUACGGGGGAAAGCAGGGGAUCGUAAGACCUUGCACUAUUGGAGCGGCCGAUAUCGGAUUAGCUAGUUGGUGAGGUAACGGCUCACCAAGGCGACGAUCCGUAGCUGGUUUGAGAGGACGACCAGCCACACUGGGACUGAGACACGGCCCAGACUCCUACGGGAGGCAGCAGUGGGGAAUUUUGGACAAUGGGGGCAACCCUGAUCCAGCCAUCCCGCGUGUGCGAUGAAGGCCUUCGGGUUGUAAAGCACUUUUGGCAGGAAAGAAACGACGCGGGCUAAUACCCCGUGGAACUGACGGUACCUGCAGAAUAAGCACCGGCUAACUACGUG
Molecule: ribosomal RNA, 484 nt
Filed under: uncultured bacterium
Lineage: Bacteria
Description: partial 16S ribosomal RNA
Rfam family: Bacterial small subunit ribosomal RNA
Source: RNAcentral